RNAcentral lists this long non-coding RNA (500 nucleotides) under Brassica napus (rape). RNAcentral describes it as "long non-coding RNA (BNAP_LNC011192)". The record is from RNAcentral. Lineage: Eukaryota; Viridiplantae; Streptophyta; Magnoliopsida; Brassicales; Brassicaceae.
UGAGAAAAUCUUCAUUUAAUACAACAAUAUUUAGUCAUCUGAAAAUAAACUUUAUACAUAUGCAUGGUUGUGGAAAUGAUUUAGUUUAUAAUUUAUAUUUCAUCAAUUUUGUAUAUUUUGUAUAUUUAUAUUAAUAAAUAUAUUUAUACAUAUGUACCUCGGACAGAGAAUAAAAGGGCGGAUAGCUUAGCACGCAGUGCUAGGAAACAACCGUCUUUCGUCGUUCACAUGGAUGCGGAGUUGUCGGUUUGAUUUACAGAGUCAAGUUGAGUCUGUGAAUGUAUUGUUGUAAAAAAAAAACUACUUUAUAUAAUUGGUAUAGGUGUUAUGAACCAGAUUGUGGAUGUCUCAUAACCAAGAGAUUAUGAUUUGUAAUCUUUUCAUUUAUCUAUGACGGUGUAAUCUCCUAUAUAAGGAACCUCUAUGUUAUGAAUAAAUAUACACUUUUCCGUUACUUUUAUAACGCGUUAUCAACACGAAACUCUAAAUCCCUAAGCUAA